GAAAUAAAAAUUUGAAUUUCUAAUUCAAUAACUUUAAUAUUAAUUUAUUAUUAUUUCU
Molecule: transfer RNA, 58 nt
Filed under: Platygaster sp. ZJUH_2016026
Lineage: Eukaryota; Metazoa; Arthropoda; Insecta; Hymenoptera; Platygastridae
Description: tRNA-Ser
Source: RNAcentral